Molecule: ribosomal RNA, 497 nt
Filed under: uncultured bacterium
Lineage: Bacteria
Description: partial 16S ribosomal RNA
Rfam family: Bacterial small subunit ribosomal RNA
Source: RNAcentral
GAUGAACGCUGGCGGCGUGCCUAAUACAUGCAAGUCGAGCGAACGGACGCGAAGUUUGCUUCUUGGUCGUUAGGGGCGGACGGGUGAGUAACACGUGUAUCCCCUACUUGUCUUUCUGGUAUAAUUUCGGGACACCGGAUCUUAUCCCGGAUAAUAUUUUGAACCGCAUUGUUCAAUGGUGAAUGUCGGCCUUGCUGUCUGUUCUAGAUGGAUCUCGGCUGCAGUAGCUGGUUGGUAAGGUAACGGGUUAGCAAGGCUACGAUGCAUAGCCGACGUGAGAGAGUGGUCGGCCACACGGGAACUGAGACAGGGACCAGAGUCCUACGGGAGGCAGCAGUAGGGUAUGUGCGGCAAUGGGGGAAAGCAUGACGGAGCAACGGCGCGUGAGUGAUGAAGGUCUUCGGAUCGUAAAGCUCUGUUAUUAGGGAAGAACAUAUGUGGAAGUAAAUGAGGACAGCUUGACGGUAACGAAUCAGAAAGCCACGGCUAACUACGUG